CACGCCCAGACUCUACGGGAGGCAGCAGUGGGGAAUAUGCACAAUGGCGAAAGCUGAUGCAGCAACGCCGCGUGAGGGAUGACGGCUUCGGGUUGUAAACCUCUUUUAGUAGGGAAGAAGCGAAAGUGACGGUACCUGCAGAAAAAGCACCGGCUAACUACGUGCCAGCAGCCGCGGUAAUACGUAGGGUGCAAGCGUUGUCCGGAAUUAUUGGGCGUAAAGAGCUCGUAGGCGGUUUGUCGCGUCUGCUGUGAAAUCCCGAGGCUCAACCUCGGGCUUGCAGUGGGUACGGGCAGACUAGAGUGCGGUAGGGGAGAUUGGAAUUCCUGGUGUAGCGGUGGAAUGCGCAGAUAUCAGGAGGAACACCGAUGGCGAAGGCAGAUCUCUGGGCCGUAACUGACGCUGAGGAGCGAAAGCAUGGGGAGCGAACAGGAUUAGAUACCCUGGUAGUCCAUGCCGUAAACGUUGGGCGCUAGAUGUAGGGACCUUUCCACGGUUUCUGUGUCGUAGCUAACGCAUUAAGCGCCCCGCCUGGGGAGUACGGCCGCAAGGCUAAAACUCAAAGGAAUUGACGGGGGCCCGCACAAGCGGCGGAGCAUGCGGAUUAAUUCGAUGCAACGCGAAGAACCUUACCAAGGCUUGACAUACACCGGAAACGGCCAGAGAUGGUCACCCCCUUGUGGUCGGUGUACAGGUGGUGCAUGGUUGUCGUCAGCUCGUGUCGUGAGAUGUUGGGUUAAGUCCCGCAACGAGCGCAACCCUCGUUCUAUGUUGCCAGCGGGUUAUGCCGGGGACUCAUAGGAGACUGCCGGGGUCAACUCGGAGGAAGGUGGGGAUGACGUCAAAUCAUCAUGCCCCUUAUGUCUUGGGCUUCACGCAUGCUACAAUGGCCGGUACAAAGGGCUGCGAUACCGUAAGGUGGAGCGAAUCCCAAAAAGCCGGUCUCAKUUCGGAUUGAGGUCUGCAACUCGACCUCAUGAAGUCGGAGUCGCUAGUAAUCGCAGAUCAGCAACGCUGCGUA
RNAcentral lists this ribosomal RNA (1021 nucleotides) under Curtobacterium flaccumfaciens. Its description in RNAcentral is "bacterial SSU rRNA". It matches the Rfam family "Bacterial small subunit ribosomal RNA", at positions 325 to 1363 of the family's 1533-position model. Lineage: Bacteria; Bacillati; Actinomycetota; Actinomycetes; Micrococcales; Microbacteriaceae. The record is from RNAcentral.